AUUGAACGCUGGCGGCGUGCUUAACACAUGCAAGUCGAACGGUAAGGCCCUUCGGGGUACACGAGUGGCGAACGGGUGAGUAACACGUGGGUGAUCUGCCCUGCACUUCGGGAUAAGCUUGGGAAACUGGGUCUAAUACCGGAUAGGACCACGGUCUGCAUGGAUUGUGGUGGAAAGCUUUUUGCGGUGUGGGAUGGGCCCGCGGCCUAUCAGCUUGUUGGUGGGGUGAUGGCCUACCAAGGCGACGACGGGUAGCCGGCCUGAGAGGGUGUCCGGCCACACUGGGACUGAGAUACGGCCCAGACUCCUACGGGAGGCAGCAGUGGGGAAUAUUGCACAAUGGGCGCAAGCCUGAUGCAGCGACGCCGCGUGGGGGAUGACGGCCUUCGGGUUG
RNAcentral lists this ribosomal RNA (394 nucleotides) under uncultured bacterium. Its description in RNAcentral is "bacterial SSU rRNA". It matches the Rfam family "Bacterial small subunit ribosomal RNA", at positions 28 to 425 of the family's 1533-position model. The record is from RNAcentral.